This 111-nucleotide ribosomal RNA is filed under the name Bacteroides sp. AM16-24. The record is from RNAcentral. Lineage: Bacteria; Pseudomonadati; Bacteroidota; Bacteroidia; Bacteroidales; Bacteroidaceae.
UCAGGUGACUAUAGCAUCAGGGUUCCACCUCUUCCCCAUUCCGAACAGAGAAGUUAAGCCUGAUCACGCCGAUGGUACUGCGUCAAGUGGGAGAGUAGGUAGUUGCCGUUU